CUUCCCACCAGCAGCAACGAUUGCAUGUUCGACGCGGAAGACUGACACGGCCACGUCACCCCCAUUCAUAUCCCUCCACGUCAGCCAAUCCACAUCGUCCGUGAUAAAUUGGUCGGGACUAUCUCUACGGCCAAGAUCGCCUGCCUCUUACGAAUCCAACGGCCUAUAUCUCAUUUCUAGAGUCUUCGAAUCGAAUAGAAGGAAAUCGUCUAACCACGGUUAGUUUUUUAACCCGCCCUUGAGUCUCUGCCAGAGUUGAGAAGGAAUUCGGGAGAGAAGGAGAGAAGGAGAGAGGGUUUUUGGGGGUUUCAGAAUCGCUGGAAUUUAGACCGUUGAUUCUUCUUCGUCUUGGAUCGGAGUCGUCGAUUCGGAUAUCCGUACAACUAAAAGCCGGAUCGAACGACUGCCGGUUCUUCGCUUGAGCUUCGUGUUUGUUCUCUUCUACGAUCCCCUACAUCGAUUGGCCUUUUCUUUUUUCGGUUCUUCUCCUCAUAGAUCAUUGUGAUCAGAUGGGUUCUCUGAUGUAGUGUGAUCGCUACAUCUCUGCUGCCCUUUUCCUGUCACGCUUUUGCUGACGUAAGAAACAACGGUGGGAGUUUGAUUCUGCAACGUAGUCGCUUCAUGACCUUUUGGACAACAGAUUUCCCUCUCUUUGUAGCAGUGUCGGCGCUUGAGUCUGUCGCCCGCUCGAGAGAGAGAAGGGGGAACCCCGUUGCCGCCUCUGCAGGCCCUGUCAAUCCUCAAAUCUCCCCUGCGUUCCAUGUCUCCUAACUUGGACAGCCCUGUGCAGACCCAGAUGGCAGUUGCAGUCUUUAAAGGCACCCUGAGCAGUGGUGAAUGUCGUGGAAACAAGAGGGUGGAAGGAAAGCCUGCUGGGAGGCGCCGUGUGUUUGUGCAAACUGAUACUGGCAGCGUCUUGGGGAUUGAAUUGGAUCGGAGUGACAAUGUCCACACAGUCAAGAGGAGAUUGCAAUUGGCUCUGAAUGUUCCAACCGACGAGAGCUCGCUGACUUUUGGGGAUCUUGUGCUGAAGAAUGAUCUCAGCGCCGUCCGGAAUGAUUCCCCAUUGCUCCUCACGAGAAACUUCCUGCAUAGAAGCUCGUCGACUCCGUGUCUUUCACCUACCGGAAAGGAUCUCCAACACAGGGAUCGAAGUGGACCGAUUGAGAUACUGGGUGGCUCGAGUCGCUGUUCUAGAACCAAACAGCUUGUGAAGGAUGUCGUGAAGGCGAUCAAGAGUGGGGUCGAUCCAAUCCCUGUCCACAGUGGGCUUGGUGGCGCUUACUAUUUUAGAAACAGUAGAGGUGAGAGCAUUGCCAUUGUGAAGCCCACGGAUGAGGAGCCCUUUGCUCCAAACAAUCCAAAGGGUUUUGUAGGGAAAGCUCUCGGCCAGCCGGGCUUGAAACGGUCAGUUAGGGUCGGUGAGACAGGGUUCCGAGAAGUUGCUGCCUACCUUCUCGAUGAUGAUCACUUUGCUAAUGUGCCGCCCACAAUCCUUGUCAAGAUCACCCACUCGGUGUUCAACGUCAACAGUGGGGUGAACAGUAGCAAGGUUCAUGACAGGAAGCAGGUUAGCAAGAUUGCAUCAUUCCAGCAGUUCAUUCCCCACGACUACGACGCUGGCGACCACGGCACCUCAAGCUUCCCCGUUGCUGCUGUGCACAGGAUAGGGAUACUGGACAUUAGGAUCUUCAACACGGACAGACAUGCUGGCAACCUUCUGGUUAGGAAGCUUGACAAGGUUGGAACGUUUGGUGACGUGGAACUUAUUCCAAUCGAUCAUGGCCUUUGCCUGCCAGAGACCUUGGAGGAUCCGUACUUCGAGUGGAUCCAUUGGCCUCAGGCAUCGGUUCCAUUCAACGAUGAAGAGCUCAAGUACAUUGCAAAUCUUGAUCCAGACAGGGACUCUGACAUGCUGCGCAUGGAGCUGCCGAUGAUCAGAGAGGCGUGUCUCCGGGUCUUAGUCCUCUGCACGGUCUUCCUCAAGAAGGCAGCUGCAUAUGGUCUUUGCUUAGCUGAGAUUGGUGAGAUGAUGAGUCGGGAGUUUCGGGGGCUUGAAGAGGAGCCGAGUGAGCUCGAAGUUGUGUGCAUUGAGGCGAGGAGGUUGAUUGCGGAGAGAGAAAUGAUGUUCUUCCCCAAAGAUGAAGCAGGGGAGGAAGAGGAAUUCCAGUUCGACCUCGACUGUGAUGCAGAAUUCUCCCCCAAACUGACAGAUGAUUUCACAGCCAAAGCAUCAUCGCCGUUCAGUUUUGGGUUCAAGGGGGCACAUUGCAGGAACCCGCUUUCCAAAUUAGAGGAGAGUGUGGAGGAAGAACAGGAAGAAGAGAUUGAGGGUGAAGAGGAGGCCAAGCUUGCCCCAGGGACUGGUGGAGUUUUGGGCCCACUGCCUACUCGUGAGCGGGUCCCGUCAGUUUCCAAGCUGUCUGCAUCACUGAAGAGCAUUGGCCUGGGCGAGAAGAACCAGCGGUACCAGGGCUUCUCAAGUGGCGAGGGCCUUGCGUUUCUGGCAUGUGGGGCAGCUGUGGGAAGCAGCAGCAGCAGCAAUCGUAGGAGUGCAAACGAGCAGCUGCCAGCGAGUGCAAGUUUUGUGAAGCUGGCGGACAUGAGCGAUGAGGAGUGGACGCUGUUCCUCGAGAAGUUCCAGGAGCUGUUGCACGACGCGUUCGCCAGCCGGAAGUGCGGCAGUGUGGGGCCUAGGCAGAGGCAGAGGCUGGGGACUUCUUGCCAGUUUUGAUGAGAAGGUUACUUGUUUAUGCUCUGUUUGGUGUACAAAGAGGAGACGAAAGCCCAGGAAGAAGAAGAAUAAGACAUUUGGGAAGAAGAGGAUUUGUAGCCUUUGUUUUGGAGAUAGAAUAGUUGGGAGACGUUUGUAAAUAUUCUUUAGAGGAUAAGCCGGCUGCUGCUGCUACUCGAAGAAGGAGAGGAUUGGCCCAGCUUCUGGUGGUGGGCCGACUGAUUCUUGGGCCAAAAUCGAUGGAUCCAUCUAUAUCUACCACAGGCAAGCCGCAUCCUUCUGGAAAGGUCACUAUGAAUUGAGAUUGGAUAUGAUUCAUGACAAUUGCUGUCAUUGUCUUCCGUUAUAAUUAUAUGAUGAACACCGCCCAGUGGUUUCAGGGCCCAUUCAUGGAUACUGGUAUUUGGGGCCCACCGAGAUAGGUUAUGUGGAGCUACAUAAUAGCCAAGAUGGCUGAAACUGUUAGGGCUAGCCUUUCUGGUCAGAAACAUGUGUCGGUGGGCUUGUGUUAGCUUUAAAGGACGGGAAUCAUCAACCUGAUGGGCCAGCAUGGAAAGGCUGUGGUAUGAAAUUGCAUUAAUGGAGUCUACAUGAGUGGUUAGAUCGGUGAUUUGGCAAGGAUGAAAACUAAAAGAGAAGCUGUUUUGUGCUGCUGAUCAUUGCAAAGAAGAGGCAUCUUACAAUGGUUUUCAGCUUGUACAACGAUCUAACUUCCAAGCCUUUGAUACGAUGGGCCCCCAUUGUAAGCAGGUAAUUGAAAUUUCCCAGAUUCUAGCCAUUGAACCAUUGGUUUUUCUUUAUGUUUUUAUUUUGUUUUUGUUUUUGGCCUCUGCAUAUGUUCCGCAACUAUAUUUGCCUUCUCUCUUGAAUGUACGUUUGGCCUAUCAUAUCAACAAAAUGUUAGGCUUAGUGCAUUCCGAUCCUGGCCCCUUAGGUUGCUAAUGGCUACAAAGUAAUGGAGUCUUGUUGGAAAA
Molecule: RNA transcript, 3708 nt
Organism: Magnolia sinica
Lineage: Eukaryota; Viridiplantae; Streptophyta; Magnoliopsida; Magnoliales; Magnoliaceae
Gene name: phosphatidylinositol 4-kinase gamma 5-like
Exons: 3
Source: RefSeq, a predicted model, not a curated record